Epinephelus fuscoguttatus (brown-marbled grouper) is the source of this 2168-nucleotide long non-coding RNA. RefSeq lists it as uncharacterized. Lineage: Eukaryota; Metazoa; Chordata; Actinopteri; Perciformes; Serranidae. The record is from RefSeq and is a predicted model, not a curated record. The transcript is spliced from 3 exons.
UUGUAAAAGAUAAAUUAUUGAGUGGUUUGAAUUUCUACAAAAAUCUUAGCCCCUUUGUUUUCACAUUGGAAUUCAUAAUUAACGUUUUAUUUUUCAAUUACCAUUGUCUUGAUUUUUAUUACUAUUAAAGUUUUCUAUCAUGAUUACUAUUUAUUAAGCGUUUAUUUUUCUCUUUUACCCAUGUGUGUGCUUGAAUAUUUGUGUUUCAAAUGUCUAUUUGACACUCCUUUCAACCAACUAUGUGCACAGCAAAGGCACCAGCUGCUUUGUUUAUAUCAGGGAACAACUUGUUGCCCAAAGAUUGGCUAAGGUACCUGGGGAAAAGCUAAAGAGCCCGGCCAGAAGAAAAGAAAGAAAACAUAUUCAUUAUUUUAUACUCCAUUUCUGCCAAUAUAUCCCCCUAAAUUCUAUACAGUGGACCUUUGAGUUAUCAGAGAAAUAGGACGAGCACACAAUUCCAUGUGGUGGGUGAGCUGCCCAUCUCUGACAUGCCAAGCAGCGUUGGAGAAACGAUGAUUUAAAAACUACUUCAUUUUGUGUUUAUACUGGUUUUAAUCACCUGGUUCAUUUGUUUUGGAGAUAAAGAGAUCUGUGUGGAUAAUUUUGCUCCCAGUAAAAACCACCUGAACAAUGAACACUAAGGGAAUUCUAACUGGGAGAAGUUUCACCUGGUGAAAUCUGCAACAAAGAGCAUGGAUACCAAGAGGCGAAGUGCCGUUGAAUUUCUGCCAACAGCCACCAGGGGCGCUAAUGUCAUUUUGGACUGUUGAGCUUGGACCGUUGCGCCCAGACAACACGCAAGAUGUCAAGGAGAGGAGAAAAAAGUAAAAGAAAACAGUGUAGUGCAAUUAACUGCAACAACUAUCAGUGGAACACCUGGCCUUCCACCGUUUCCCGAAGGAUCCCGACAGACGUGUACGUUUUAAAGUGUUUUAAUAUCAAUUUAAUAUGCCAGUUUUCGUGGGAAGAUAUAUGUAUAUAUGUAUAUAUAGACCUAUAUAUGGCCUCUUGGACCAUUUAUAUCAGAACUGAUUAGCCUACUGCUUUAGCAUUAAAAUAUAUCAUAUUAAAAUAGCUUACAUAUUAUUAUUAUUAUUAUGACUGUCCCCUUACUGUACAAACUGUAAAUAAAUCUUUAUUCCUGACUAUGUAACGUCACCAUUAAUGUGUUUCUAGUUAAAAUAUUGAUUUUUAUUUAUUUAUUUAUUUAUUUAUUUAUUCUUUGGUAGAUUGGCUUAUGGGGUGAUUUUGAAGGAGUAAUUAAGUUAAUCUUCUCAUAAGUGAAUGUAAUAUGUAGAGAUGCCAUCUAGGCCGUUUUUCAUUGUUUUGGUUUUUUUUUAAAGUCUAUAUUUUGCUUUACAAAAACGUGAAAAAGCAGCUGUGACCAAGCUAUCACGAGGUGAGUAGCAUUGUAAGCAUAAUUAAUAGUGAUAUACUUCAGUUUGUCUGUGUGUUUUUGUAUUCAAGCGGGUCUGCUGCGGUCUGCUGACAGUCCAAAAUGGCGGCGGUAGGAAGAAACCAUGGUACUGCUGCUGUGACAUGAUAUCCAUCCAUCCAUCCAUCCAUAUAUCUAUCCAUCAAUCCAUCCAUCCAUGUUUUUGACCUGUGAUGAGGUAUUGAAGACGCAAAAUUCGGUGCCUGGAUUAGGGCCUGGAGGCUCCCGACCUUGUCCUCAACGUUGCUUCUCAAUUGUCCUCUGAUGUCAGUCUAAUACCUUGGGUUCAUCUAAUUGAUACUCAAAGAAACACUGGAGACAGGCAGAGUCCAAUGCAAUCGAGUUUAAUGUGUUCACGAGCUUCAACACAUCAUGAGUCAAGCCCCGGAGCUGGACUGAAAACUCGCUCUCAGUGCGCUCGCUUUUAUGCUGGUGGAGACUGGGUAGAGUCUCCACCUCUUUUGUUAAUCCUUCCCACUCAAAUCCAAAUCUAUUGGUGGCAACCUUUUUCUUUUUGUCCAAUCAUGAACAGGCCCGUUUUUAAUGGUGUAAUCACUUUCACUUUGAGCCUGGAAUUUCCCAAAUCUCCCACCCUUAGGUUUGGAUUUGCUUUCACUUUAUUUUUAAAAAACAUGUGAAUCUUAGGGACUUUCUUUAUGCAGCCCCUUGUGCAAUGUGAACCUUUAAAUGUGCAUCAGGUAAUACAAACAUUUGAGUGUGUGUGUGUGUUAUC